UGGGAAUCUUCCGCAAUGGACGAAAGUCUGACGGAGCAACGCCGCGUGAGUGAAGAAGGUUUUCGGAUCGUAAAACUCUGUCUUUUGGGGCGAACUGAGUAUGGUGAACAAUCAUAGUCAGUGACGGUACCAAAGGAGGAAGCCACGGCUAACUACGUGCCAGCAGCCGCGGUAAUACGUAGGUGGCAAGCGUUGUCCGGAAUUAUUGGGCGUAAAGAGCGCGUAGGCGGGAUAGUCAGUCUGUUGUAAAAGUGCGGGGCUCAACCCCGUGAUCGCAAUGGAAACAGCUAUUCUUGAGUGCAGGAGAGGAAAGUGGAAUUCCCAGUGUAGCGGUGAAAAUGCGUAGAUAUUGGGAGGAACACCAGUGGCGAAGGCGACUUUCUGGACUGUGUCUGACGCUGAGGCGCGAAAAGCCAGGGGAGCAAAACAGGAUUAGAUACCCUGGUAGUCCACGCCCUAAAACGAUGUCAACUAGUUGUUGGGGAUUCAUUUCCUUAGUAACGUAGCUAAACGCGUGAAAGUUGACCGCCUGGGGAGUAACGGUCGCAAGAUUAAAAACUCAAAAUGAAUUGACGGGGUCAUAGCUGUUUCCUG
RNAcentral lists this ribosomal RNA (594 nucleotides) under uncultured bacterium. RNAcentral describes it as "partial 16S ribosomal RNA". It matches the Rfam family "Bacterial small subunit ribosomal RNA", at positions 356 to 1376 of the family's 1533-position model. The record is from RNAcentral.